ACGAGUGGCGGACGGGUGAGUAACACGUGGGUAACCUGCCCUUAAGUGGGGGAUAACAUUUGGAAACAGAUGCUAAUACCGCAUAGAUCCAAGAACCGCAUGGUUCUUGGCUGAAAGAUGGCGUAAGCUAUCGCUUUUGGAUGGACCCGCGGCGUAUUAGCUAGUUGGUGAGGUAAUGGCUCACCAAGGCGAUGAUACGUAGCCGAACUGAGAGGUUGAUCGGCCACAUUGGGACUGAGACACGGCCCAAACUCCUACGGGAGGCAGCAGUAGGGAAUCUUCCACAAUGGACGCAAGUCUGAUGGAGCAACGCCGCGUGAGUGAAGAAGGCUUUCGGGUCGUAAAACUCUGUUGUUGGAGAAGAAUGGUCGGCAGAGUAACUGUUGUCGGCGUGACGGUAUCCAACCAGAAAGCCACGGCUAACUACGUGCCAGCAGCCGCGGUAAUACGUAGGUGGCAAGCGUUAUCCGGAUUUAUUGGGCGAAAAGCGAGCGCAGGCGGUUUUUUAAGUCUUGAUGUGAAAAGCCCUCGGCUUAACCGAGGAAGCGCAUCGGAAACUGGGAAACUUGAAGUGCAGAAGAGGACAGUGGAACUCCAUGUGUAGCGGUGAAAUGCGUAGAUAUAUGGAAGAACACCAGUGGCGAAGGCGGCUGUCUGGUCUGUAACUGACGCUGAGGCUCGAAAGCAUGGGUAGCGAACAGGAUUAGAUACCCUGGUAGUCCAUGCCGUAAACGAUGAAUGCUAGGUGUUGGAGGGUUUCCGCCCUUCAGUGCCGCAGCUAACGCAUUAAGCAUUCCGCCUGGGGGAGUACGACCGCAAGGUUGAAACUCAAAGGAAUUGACUGGGGGCCCGCACAAGCAGAAGCAGCAUGUGGUUUAAUUUCGAAGCAACGCGAAGAACCAUAACCAGGUCUCGACAUCUUUUGAUCACCUGACAGAUCAGGUAUCCCCUUCGGGGGCAAAAUGACAGGUGGUGCAUGGUUGUCGUCAGCUCGUGUCGUGAGAUGUUGGGUUAAGUCCCGCAACGAGCGCAACCCUUAUGACUAGUUGCCAGCAUUUAGUUGGGCACUCUAGUAAGACUGCCGGUGACAAACCGGAGGAAGGUGGGGAUGACGUCAAAUCAUCAUGCCCCUUAUGACCUGGGCUACACACGUGCUACAAUGGAUGGUACAACGAGUUGCGAGACCGCGAGGUCAAGCUAAUCUCUUAAAGCCAUUCUCAGUUCGGACUGUAGGCUGCAACUCGCCUACACGAAGUCGGAAUCGCUAGUAAUCGCGGAUCAGCACGCCGCGGUGAAUACGUUCCCGGGCCUUGUACACACCGCCCGUCACACCAUGAGAGUUUGUAACACCCGAAGCCGGUGGCGUAACCCUUUUAGGGAGCGAGCCGUCUAAGGUGGGACAAAUGAUUAGGGUGAAGUCGUAACAAG
RNAcentral lists this ribosomal RNA (1428 nucleotides) under Lacticaseibacillus casei. RNAcentral describes it as "Lactobacillus casei 16S ribosomal RNA". It matches the Rfam family "Bacterial small subunit ribosomal RNA". The record is from RNAcentral. Lineage: Bacteria; Bacillati; Bacillota; Bacilli; Lactobacillales; Lactobacillaceae.